Cyprinus carpio carpio is the source of this 2748-nucleotide long non-coding RNA. The record is from Ensembl. Lineage: Eukaryota; Metazoa; Chordata; Actinopteri; Cypriniformes; Cyprinidae.
AGUCACAUUUGUCUUGUCUGCAGAUUUAUCUCCUUUGGGAUUUACUUUGCAAUCAGCUUUGAAGCCACAGUGAAUGUGGCAAAGGGAAGUCCCAACGGUCCAAACAGGAAGUCAUCGUCAACACCUGGCAUUACAAAUUCUGACCCUCCCCUAAUUCAUCCGAGCAUCCAGAUCACACUGCCAAAAGCGUCCAGGCCGUGUCCACAGUCACCAGCCGAGAGUCUGACACAAACCACCAACCCCCCUCCAGCCCCUGUCUCCACCCAUCACACCCUCCAAUUUCAGGACUGCAUCCCAAGCCUGGCAUUCCAUCUGUGCAGCUCUGCAUCUCCUUACCGUUCUGCCUGUCCAUCCCAAAAAGCACACAGAGAGGUGACAGUAUGAGCCAAAACAGCUCGUCAUGCGUACACACACAUCCAAACCAGCUCUGCAUGUGAAAACUAAUCUAAUAUUACAGGACAAACCUUUAACAAGCUAAACAUACAUACAUAUUAUUACAACUCUCUACUUCUAAUUGCUCUUGGUUACAUAUAAUUGUAUGUAUAAUUGUAUGCAUGUCAUUGCAGUGCAAUUGCAUCAUGAUGCUGUGACAAGGUUUGCCUUCAGAAUUUAGAAAGCUUAAUGUAAUCCUUUCAUCACUAUUGAACUUGAUGUGUUUUGUUUGUUUGUUUGUUUUUUAGUCAAAAUUCCUUCAUCUGAUAGUAAUUGAAUACUGUUGUGCACACUUUUGAAAGAAGUUAAUGCCAGUUCAAUUAAAGCCUUGUGAAUUCAAAGUUUCAUGGUUUAUAGAUUUACACAGAGAGACAUAUAAUCGUAUAAUGAUAUGAUUGAUACAUAGACAGAAUGACAGAUGUAAAGAAACUAAAAAUUCUCUAAAAAAUGUUUGGAAAAAAAGAAAAGAAAGAAAAACAUCCACCUGGAUAUAAGUAUGUACAAAUAUACAAUACAAGAUUUAAAGACUUGUUUUAUUGAUUUCGAAAAAGGGCAAUAUUGUGUGCAUAAUGAUCACUGAUCUCGCUGCUGAUAUUUUACCAUAAUUAUACUUGCAUUGAUUAAAGCUAAUUGGACACCAAUUAGCAUUUUCAGUUUUAUUUCUGCACUCAAAAUGCCUAAAUGAAAAAACAGCACUUCACAACAUGUUAGAAAGGGAAUUACAUUACAGACAUUAGAGGUCAAUCCUUGGGUUACUUUAGUGGAUAAAUGUUUACAGCAAAUAAAUGACAACCGCAUAAAUAAAAGUGGAGAGGAAAUGACACUGUGUAAUGCAGACACUGAUCUGUGGCAGCAGAACUAAUUUCAAAUAUGUCAAGCUUGAAAUUACUACACAGACUCUGCCAAAAAUAUGGAUGUUUGUUUACAAUCCAUAUCAGUGGGGGAUAUCUAGGUUUAGUGAGUAAAUACAGGGGUUGGGAUGAGGCAUGUUAAUUAGUACUUGAGACUUGUGUGCCUUCGCAAAUGACUCACAAGGCUUGAUAAAACAACUCUGGAUAACAGCAGCAACGUGGAGAAUUCUAAUGUGUUCAAUAGCAAGUUUGCAGGAAUUACUAUCACAAGUUGUUCCCAUCCCCACCUGUCUGGAGACUCAUAACAGACUCCAAAAUUGCUGAUUUUGUGAUAUAAUUUGUGUGCUUGAAUAAUCUGAAUGGUGGUUUGCUGCUGCCUGGCUAAAACUUAUCUAACUCCUUUAACAGCAGUUUAAGUGCUUCGGAAGCAACUGUGACACACUGUAAUAUAGGACAAGUACUUUUGGACACCUUUGACCCAGAAGUCAAACAUUAUAGUUGUCUUAUGCAAACUUUUAGCUAGAAUCAACUCGCAGUAGCAAAAAGGUUUUAAAUUCCAACAUAAGUGCUUUGCAUCUCAUUUGAGAAGAUCUCUUGUUAAAUGUCAAUGCAUGCAGACGUGACCCCUCAGGGUCUCAUAGAUAUUUUCAAACUCUUUUGAUGCAAAGUUUCAAAAAAUCCUCUAGCUGAUAAGCAUUUGGAAAAUGUUGUAAAUUUGGAGCUAAAUAAAAACAACCAAAUAUAACUGACUGUUGGAAAUGUACAUGAAUUGGAACAAUGAACGCUCACAUCUAUGGUGUGUAGAUUGUUAAGAUUAAAACUGUCUCUAAGAUAGAAACUAAUCUAUUUACAGGAAUAAACAAAUAAUAUAAUUUUGUUUGCUUCAAGCAAGAUCAAAAUUAGUUGAUUUCUACCACUCCCUGAGAACAAAAACACUUGAACACUAACCAAAUUUACCGGUUGUAAAACACUCGUGACUUUGUGAAGUUCUGGGACUAAUUGGAUGAUUGACCUACAGACAUCAUCCUAUGUUGUUCCUCUCCAUCCUUCUUACCCCCCUCUGUAGUUAUUUACAAAGCUUUUUCUUUAUUUUUUUCUUUUUCACUUUAUCAGUUGGUAUUUUGCUCUUUUAUCCUUCAUGGGGAGCUUGCUGUCAGAAAUGAAAGUUGAGACGGAGUCCUGUUAGCCAAAGAUUGCGUCUUGUUUACUUGGAGGUGUUGACCCCCGUUGGCCGACAGACUGUGCGUUGAGAUUCGAUGGCGUGUGUUCACGGAUGCGCAGCAUGUGUGUGGGUGCAGGAAUGAAAGGGCAGGGCGUUUGGAGGUGUGGGUAGUCUUGCCUCAGCACUUUCCAGGUAAACUUCUGACUCCAACACCCUACAGUCGAGAGAAAGAACGCCCGGAAGAACAUCCAUCCCCCCUCAUCCUCCUCCCAGCUGCAUUCUCUUUGAAAAGCUCCUCCAAAA